AGUUAUUUGUACCGAGGGUUCGAAUCCCUCUCUUUCCG
RNAcentral lists this transfer RNA (38 nucleotides) under Pterospora andromedea. RNAcentral describes it as "tRNA-Ser". Lineage: Eukaryota; Viridiplantae; Streptophyta; Magnoliopsida; Ericales; Ericaceae. The record is from RNAcentral.